This 1959-nucleotide ribosomal RNA is filed under the name Synechococcus sp. AG-683-B03. RNAcentral describes it as "bacterial LSU rRNA". It matches the Rfam family "Bacterial large subunit ribosomal RNA", at positions 935 to 2925 of the family's 2925-position model. Lineage: Bacteria; Bacillati; Cyanobacteriota; Cyanophyceae; Synechococcales; Synechococcaceae. The record is from RNAcentral.
ACCGCUCUCGCAGCCCGUACCGAAAUGGUGGCUUUACCCCCCUGCUGGAGCACGAGACGCUACGCCUCAACGUAUUUCGGGGAGAGGGAAACAGCCCAGCCCGCCAGCUAAGGUCCCCAAAUCAACACUAAGUGAUAAAGGAGGUGGAGUUGCAUAGACAACCAGGAGGUUUGCUUAGAAGCAGCCAUCCUCAAAGGAGUGCGUAAUAGCUCACUGGUCGAGCGAUUCUGCACCGAAAAUGAACGGGGCUAAGUGUUGUACCGAAGCUGCGGAUUUUAUGGUAGGGGAGCGUUCUAUGUGGGGCGAAGCAUUAGCGUGAGCGGAUGUGGACUGCAUAGAAGUGAGAAUGUCGGCUUGAGUAGCGAAAACAUGGGUGAGAAUCCCAUGCACCGAAACCCUAAGGGUUCCUCCGGCAGGCUCGUCCGCGGAGGGUUAGUCUGGACCUAAGGCGAGGCCGAAAGGCGUAGUCGAUGGAUAACAGGUCAACAUUCCUGUACCGGUCAUGUUUUGGGAAGAGGGACGGAGAAGGCUAGCCAAGCCAGAUGUUGGUUACUGGUUCAAGCGUUCGAGGCGUUGAGGAGCGGUGAAAACGUUCCGAGCUGAGGCGUGAGUACGAGCUGCUACGGCAGCGAAGUUGGUGACGUCAUGCUUCCAAGAAAAGCUCUAUACCCGUUAAGACAUGAUUGCCAGUACCCGAAACCGACACAGGUGGGGUGGUAGAGAAUACCGAGGUGCGCGAGGUAACUCUCUCUAAGGAACUCGGCAAAAUGGCCCCGUAACUUCGGGAGAAGGGGUGCCACAGCAAUGUGGUCGCAGUGAAGAGGCCCUGGCGACUGUUUACCAAAAACACAGGUCUCCGCUAAGUCGCAAGACGAUGUAUGGGGGCUGACGCCUGCCCAGUGCCGGAAGGUUAAGGAAGCCGGUCAGCGUAAGCGAAGCUGGCGACUGAAGCCCCGGUGAACGGCGGCCGUAACUAUAACGGUCCUAAGGUAGCGAAAUUCCUUGUCGGGUAAGUUCCGACCCGCACGAAAGGCGUAACGAUCAGGGCGCUGUCUCGGAGAGAGGCUCGGCGAAAUAGAAUUGUCUGUGAAGAUGCGGACUACGUACACCUGGACAGAAAGACCCUAUGAAGCUUUACUGUAGCUUGAUAUUGUGUUCGGGCUCUGAAUGCGCAGGAUAGGUGGGAGAUGUUGAUCUCGUGCUCGUGGGUACGAGGGAGUCAAUGGUGAGAUACCACUCUUUCAGAGCUAGAAUUCUAACGUUCACCCGUCAUCCGGGGAGCGGACAUUAUCAGGUGGGCAGUUUGACUGGGGCGGUCGCCUCCUAAAAGGUAACGGAGGCGCGCAAAGGUUUCCUCAGGCUGGUUGGAAAUCAGCUGACGAGUGCAAAAGCAGAAGGAAGCUUGACUGUGAGACCUACAAGUCGAACAGGGACGAAAGUCGGCUUUAGUGAUCCGACGGUUCUGAGUGGAAGGGCCGUCGCUCAACGGAUAAAAGUUACUCUAGGGAUAACAGGCUGAUCUCCCCCAAGAGUUCACAUCGACGGGGAGGUUUGGCACCUCGAUGUCGGCUCAUCGCAACCUGGGGCUGAAGUCGGUCCCAAGGGUUGGGCUGUUCGCCCAUUAAAGCGGUACGCGAGCUGGGUUCAGAACGUCGUGAGACAGUUCGGUCCAUAUCCGGUGUACGCGUAGGAACAUUGAGAGGAGUUCUCCCUAGUACGAGAGGACCGGGAGGAACGCACCUCUGGUGUACCAGUUAUCGUGCCAACGGUAAACGCUGGGUAGCCAUGUGCGGAGUGGAUAACCGCUGAAAGCAUCUAAGUGGGAAGCCCACCUCAAGAUGAGUGUUCCCAUGGGGUAACCCAGUAAGGUCACGGGAAGAACACCCGUUGAUAGGCUCUACGUGGAAGUCCAGUAAUGGAUGCAGCGGAGGAGUACUAAUAGACCGAGGGCUUGACCAA